AACGAACGCUGGCGGCAUGCCUAACACAUGCAAGUCGAACGAGAACUUCGGGUCUAGUGGCGCACGGGUGCGUAACGCGUGGGAACCUGCCCUUAGGUUCGGAAUAACUCCCCUAAAGGGGUGCUAAUACCGGAUAAUGUCUUCCGACCAAAGAUUUAUCGCCUUUGGGUGGGCCCGCGUUGGAUUCGCUAGUUGGUAGGGGAAUAGCCUACCAAGGCGGCGAUCCAUAGCUGGUGUGGGAGGAUGAUCAGCCACACUGGGACUGAGACACGGCCCAGACUCCUACGGGAGGCAGCAGUGGGUAAUAUUGGACGAUGGGGGAAAGCCUGACCCAGCCGUGCCGCGUGAGUGAUGAAGGCCUUAGGGUUGUAAAGCUCUUUUACCCGGGAUGAUAAUGACAGUACCGGGAGAAUAAGCUCCGGCUAACUACGUG
RNAcentral lists this ribosomal RNA (433 nucleotides) under uncultured bacterium. RNAcentral describes it as "partial 16S ribosomal RNA". It matches the Rfam family "Bacterial small subunit ribosomal RNA", at positions 29 to 507 of the family's 1533-position model. The record is from RNAcentral.